GAUGAACGCUGGCGGCGUGCCUAAUACAUGCAAGUCGAGCGAACAGACGAGGAGCUUGCUCCUUUGACGUUAGCGGCGGACGGGUGAGUAACACGUGGAUAAUCUACCUAUAAUACGGGGAUAACUUCGGGAAACCGGAGAUAAUACCGGAGAAUAUAUUGAACCGCAUGGUUCAAUAGAGAAAGACGGCUUUGCUGUCUCUUAUAGAUGGAUCCGCGCCGCAUUAGCUAGUUGGUAAGGUAACGGCUUACCAAGGCAACGAUGCGUAGCCGACCUGAGAGGGUGAUCGGCCACACUGGAACUGAGACACGGUCCAGACUCCUACGGGAGGCAGCAGUAGGGAAUCUUCCGCAAUGGGCGAAAGCCUGACGCAGCAACGCCGCGUGAGUGAUGAAGGUCUUCGGAUCGUAAAACUCUGUUAUUAGGGAAGAACAAAUGUGUAAGUAACUAUGGCCGUCUUGACGGUACCUAAUCAGAAAGCAACGGCUAACUACGUG
Molecule: ribosomal RNA, 497 nt
Filed under: uncultured bacterium
Lineage: Bacteria
Description: partial 16S ribosomal RNA
Rfam family: Bacterial small subunit ribosomal RNA
Source: RNAcentral